Molecule: ribosomal RNA, 250 nt
Filed under: uncultured bacterium
Lineage: Bacteria
Description: partial 16S ribosomal RNA
Rfam family: Bacterial small subunit ribosomal RNA
Source: RNAcentral
UACGGAGGGUGCAAGCGUUGUUCGGAAUUACUGGGCGUAAAGCGCGUGUAGGCGGUCGGGUAAGUCAGAUGUGAAAGCCUUCCGCUUAACGGAAGAAGGGCAUUUGAAACUACCCGGCUGGAGUACGGGAGAGGAGAGUGGAAUUCCCGGUGUAGAGGUGAAAUUCGUAGAUAUCGGGAGGAACACCAGUGGCGAAGGCGGCUCUCUGGCCCGAUACUGACGCUGAGACGCGAAAGCGUGGGGAGCAAAC